GGAUCCACGAGCGGGAUGGAAACAUCCCAAACGAAACGGACCUUUGGUCCAAAGCAACGGAAGACAGAGA
RNAcentral lists this non-coding RNA (70 nucleotides) under unclassified sequences. The record is from RNAcentral.